GACGAACGCUGGCGGCGUGCCUAAUACAUGCAAGUCGAACGCUUUUUCUUUCACCGGAGCUUGCUCCACCGAAAGAAAAAGAGUGGCGAACGGGUGAGUAACACGUGGGUAACCUGCCCAUCAGAAGGGGAUAACACUUGGAAACAGGUGCUAAUACCGUAUAACACUAUUUUCCGCAUGGAAGAAAGUUGAAAGGCGCUUUUGCGUCACUGAUGGAUGGACCCGCGGUGCAUUAGCUAGUUGGUGAGGUAACGGCUCACCAAGGCAACGAUGCAUAGCCGACCUGAGAGGGUGAUCGGCCACACUGGGACUGAGACACGGCCCAGACUCCUACGGGAGGCAGCAGUAGGGAAUCUUCGGCAAUGGACGAAAAUCUGACCGAGCAACGCCGCGUGAGUGAAGAAGGUUUUCGGAUCGUAAAACUCUGUUGUUAGAGAAGAACAAGGAUGAGAGUAGAAACGUUCAU
Molecule: ribosomal RNA, 466 nt
Filed under: Enterococcus casseliflavus
Lineage: Bacteria; Bacillati; Bacillota; Bacilli; Lactobacillales; Enterococcaceae
Description: bacterial SSU rRNA
Rfam family: Bacterial small subunit ribosomal RNA
Source: RNAcentral